RNAcentral lists this ribosomal RNA (1534 nucleotides) under Escherichia coli. Its description in RNAcentral is "partial 23S ribosomal RNA". It matches the Rfam family "Bacterial large subunit ribosomal RNA", at positions 1 to 1581 of the family's 2925-position model. Lineage: Bacteria; Pseudomonadati; Pseudomonadota; Gammaproteobacteria; Enterobacterales; Enterobacteriaceae. The record is from RNAcentral.
GUUAAGCGACUAAGCGUACACGGUGGAUGCCCUGGCAGUCAGAGGCGAUGAAGGACGUGCUAAUCUGCGAUAAGCGUCGGUGAGGUGAUAUGAACCGUUAUAACCGGCGAUUUCCGAAUGGGGAAACCCAGUGUGUUUCGACACACUAUCAUUAACUGAAUCCAUAGGUUAAUGAGGCGAACCGGGGGAACUGAAACAUCUAAGUACCCCGAGGAAAAGAAAUCAACCGAGAUUCCCCCAGUAGCGGCGAGCGAACGGGGAGGAGCCCAGAGCCUGAAUCAGUGUGUGUGUUAGUGGAAGCGUCUGGAAAGGCGCGCGAUACAGGGUGACAGCCCCGUACACAAAAAUGCACAUGCUGUGAGCUCGAUGAGUAGGGCGGGACACGUGGUAUCCUGUCUGAAUAUGGGGGGACCAUCCUCCAAGGCUAAAUACUCCUGACUGACCGAUAGUGAACCAGUACCGUGAGGGAAAGGCGAAAAGAACCCCGGCGAGGGGAGUGAAAAAGAACCUGAAACCGUGUACGUACAAGCAGUGGGAGCCUCUUAAUGGGGUGACUGCGUACCUUUUGUAUAAUGGGUCAGCGACUUAUAUUCUGUAGCAAGGUUAACCGAAUAGGGGAGCCGAAGGGAAACCGAGUCUUAACUGGGCGUUAAGUUGCAGGGUAUAGACCCGAAACCCGGUGAUCUAGCCAUGGGCAGGUUGAAGGUUGGGUAACACUAACUGGAGGACCGAACCGACUAAUGUUGAAAAAUUAGCGGAUGACUUGUGGCUGGGGGUGAAAGGCCAAUCAAACCGGGAGAUAGCUGGUUCUCCCCGAAAGCUAUUUAGGUAGCGCCUCGUGAAUUCAUCUCCGGGGGUAGAGCACUGUUUCGGCAAGGGGGUCAUCCCGACUUACCAACCCGAUGCAAACUGCGAAUACCGGAGAAUGUUAUCACGGGAGACACACGGCGGGUGCUAACGUCCGUCGUGAAGAGGGAAACAACCCAGACCGCCAGCUAAGGUCCCAAAGUCAUGGUUAAGUGGGAAACGAUGUGGGAAGGCCCAGACAGCCAGGAUGUUGGCUUAGAAGCAGCCAUCAUUUAAAGAAAGCGUAAUAGCUCACUGGUCGAGUCGGCCUGCGCGGAAGAUGUAACGGGGCUAAACCAUGCACCGAAGCUGCGGCAGCGACACUAUGUGUUGUUGGGUAGGGGAGCGUUCUGUAAGCCUGUGAAGGUGUGCUGUGAGGCAUGCUGGAGGUAUCAGAAGUGCGAAUGCUGACAUAAGUAACGAUAAAGCGGGUGAAAAGCCCGCUCGCCGGAAGACCAAGGGUUCCUGUCCAACGUUAAUCGGGGCAGGGUGAGUCGACCCCUAAGGCGAGGCCGAAAGGCGUAGUCGAUGGGAAACAGGUUAAUAUUCCUGUACUUGGUGUUACUGCGAAGGGGGGACGGAGAAGGCUAUGUUGGCCGGGCGACGGUUGUCCCGGUUUAAGCGUGUAGGCUGGUUUUCCAGGCAAAUCCGGAAAACCAAGGCUGAGGCGUGAUGACGAGGCACUACG